RNAcentral lists this small RNA (321 nucleotides) under Histoplasma capsulatum. Its description in RNAcentral is "hypothetical RNA". Lineage: Eukaryota; Fungi; Ascomycota; Eurotiomycetes; Onygenales; Ajellomycetaceae. The record is from RNAcentral. RNAcentral also lists the same sequence under 1 other name.
CCCACGCCUCCUCGCGAUUCCGCCCCACAAUCGCGCACAUCUUAACACCCUAACGAUUCUUCCGCCCCGCGCUCCCCCAGAGCGCGACCUCCGAUAUUUCUUCCGCUCCGAUCCCCUUGCCUAUAAGAACCCCCUCGUACGACCCCUUCUUCUGAUCUUCUUUCUCUUUCUUUCCUUAAUCGAUUCGUAAACUGUUAUCAGGAUAGUGUCAAGUCCGUUGAUAUUGCCGUUGGAACGGAUCGUACGAACUGCGCAGGCGGUACGAACGGUUUAAUCUGCAACAUCGGUAACAUCUGCUUAAUCGGUGGCACGCCCGUUACA